ACGUCAUCCCCACCUUCCUCCGAGUUGACCCCGGCAGUCUCCCAUGAGUCCCCGGCAUAACCCGCUGGCAACAUGGGACGAGGGUUGCGCUCGUUGCGGGACUUAACCCAACAUCUCACGACACGAGCUGACGACAACCAUGCACCACCUGUGUGCGACCCUUACGGACCCACCAUCUCUGGAGGAUUUCCGCACAUGUCAAGCCUAGGUAAGGUUCUUCGCGUUGCAUCGAAUUAAGCAACAUGCUCCGCCGCUUGUGCGGGCCCCCGUCAAUUCCUUUGAGUUUUAGCCUUGCGGCCGUACUCCCCAGGCGGGGCGCUUAAUGCGUUAGCUGCGGCACGGAGACCGUGGAAUGGCCCCCACACCUAGCGCCCAACGUUUACGGCGUGGACUACCAGGG
This 400-nucleotide unclassified non-coding RNA is filed under the name uncultured fungus. RNAcentral describes it as "sequence contains ITS1". The record is from RNAcentral. Lineage: Eukaryota; Fungi.